RNAcentral lists this ribosomal RNA (465 nucleotides) under uncultured Klebsiella sp. Its description in RNAcentral is "bacterial SSU rRNA". It matches the Rfam family "Bacterial small subunit ribosomal RNA", at positions 338 to 795 of the family's 1533-position model. The record is from RNAcentral. Lineage: Bacteria; Pseudomonadati; Pseudomonadota; Gammaproteobacteria; Enterobacterales; Enterobacteriaceae.
CCUACGGGGGGCUGCAGUGGGGAAUAUUGCACAAUGGGCGCAAGCCUGAUGCAGCCAUGCCGCGUGUGUGAAGAAGGCCUUCGGGUUGUAAAGCACUUUCAGCGGGGAGGAAGGCGUUAAGGUUAAUAACCUUGUCGAUUGACGUUACCCGCAGAAGAAGCACCGGCUAACUCCGUGCCAGCAGCCGCGGUAAUACGGAGGGUGCAAGCGUCAAUCGGAAUUACUGGGCGUAAAGCGCACGCAGGCGGUCUGUCAAGUCGGAUGUGAAAUCCCCGGGCUCAACCUGGGAACUGCAUUCGAAACUGGCAGGCUAGAGUCUUGUAGAGGGGGGUAGAAUUCCAGGUGUAGCGGUGAAAUGCGUAGAGAUCUGGAGGAAUACCGGUGGCGAAGGCGGCCCCCUGGACAAAGACUGACGCUCAGGUGCGAAAGCGUGGGGAGCAAACAGGAUUAGAUACCCGAGUAGUC